Molecule: ribosomal RNA, 253 nt
Filed under: uncultured bacterium
Lineage: Bacteria
Description: partial 16S ribosomal RNA
Rfam family: Bacterial small subunit ribosomal RNA
Source: RNAcentral
UACGGGGGGGGCAAGCGUUGUUCGGAAUUACUGGGCGUAAAGGGUCUGUAGGUGGCCAACUAAGUCAGACGUGAAAUCCCUCAGCUUAACUGGGGAACUGCGUCUGAGACUGGAUGGCUCGAGUGCAGGAGAGGAAUGCGGAAUUCCAGGUGUAGCGGUGAAAUGCGUAGAUAUCUGGAGGAACACCGGUGGCGAAGGCGGCAUUCUGGACUGAAACUGACACUGAGAGACGAAAGCCAGGGGAGCAAACGGG